Molecule: ribosomal RNA, 372 nt
Filed under: uncultured organism
Description: bacterial SSU rRNA
Rfam family: Bacterial small subunit ribosomal RNA
Source: RNAcentral
CAGAGGGUGCGAGCGUUAAUCGGAAUUACUGGGCGUAAAGGGCGCGUAGGUGGUUAUUUAAGUUAGAGGUGAAAUCCCUGGGCUUAACCUGGGCAUUGCCUAUAGUACUGGAUAGCUAGAGUUUGGGAGAGGGAAGUGGAAUUUCCGGUGUAGCGGUGAAAUGCGUAGAUAUCGGAAGGAACACCAGUGGUGAAGGCGACUUCCUGGCCCGAUACUGACACUGAGGCGCGAAAGCGUGGGGAGCGAACAGGAUUAGAUACCCUGGUAGUCCACGCCGUAAACGAUGAGAACUAGAUGUUGGUUGGCUUAGACCAAUCAGUAUCGUAGCAAACGCGAUAAGUUCUCCGCCUGGGGAGUACGGCCGCAAGGUUA